UACGUAGGGGGCAAGCGUUGUCCGGAUUUAUUGGGCGUAAAGCGCGCGCAGGUGGUUUCUUAAGUCUGAUGUGAAAGCCCACGGCUCAACCGUGGAGGGUCAUUGGAAACUGGGGAACUUGAGUGCAGAAGAGGAAAGUGGAAUUCCAAGUGUAGCGGUGAAAUGCGUAGAGAUUUGGAGGAACACCAGUGGCGAAGGCGACUUUCUGGUCUGUAACUGACACUGAGGCGCGAAAGCGUGGGGAGCAAACAGG
This 253-nucleotide ribosomal RNA is filed under the name uncultured bacterium. RNAcentral describes it as "partial 16S ribosomal RNA". It matches the Rfam family "Bacterial small subunit ribosomal RNA", at positions 524 to 776 of the family's 1533-position model. The record is from RNAcentral.